AUGGACCCCCAUACACUCCGGUUCCUCCGCACCCACCUGACAGCUGCUCGCGACGUGUUGUUAGCC
RNAcentral lists this small RNA (66 nucleotides) under Xanthomonas campestris. Its description in RNAcentral is "sRNA sX9". It matches the Rfam family "Xanthomonas sRNA sX9". RNAcentral also lists the same sequence under 7 other names. The record is from RNAcentral. Lineage: Bacteria; Pseudomonadati; Pseudomonadota; Gammaproteobacteria; Lysobacterales; Lysobacteraceae.